GUGUCCAUUCCGUGCGGCCAGAUGUAAGGCUGUCGUCCUGCUGUUAUCAGCUAUGUCUUGAUUUGAGUCCUGCAGAAGUUGGCGGCAUCUGUUAAAGGAGUACACAGCACUUCUGCUUUGUUGUGUCCUCUGCUGGCUGGGCGCAAGAUUGGUCGUAACUGAUCGUCGUUCAGUCUUCCAGUUAGCGUGUUAACGCCACCCCUUGCCGCUUGUGAUGCUAUGCAUGGCCGUUUUAGGAAGGACUGGGGCCUUCAUUUAACACCACUCCACGAUCACCAAAGGUCUUUAUAUGAAUGGUUGUAGUUGCAGUUGCUGAAGUAGACAGAAUAGGCUGUCCUAAUCACUACUAAAAGGGUACGAAGCCUACUUAGCCUGAUAGCCGAAGUACUCGUGGCCUAUCACAUUUUAUGAAGA
Varroa destructor (honeybee mite) is the source of this 414-nucleotide long non-coding RNA. RefSeq lists it as uncharacterized. Lineage: Eukaryota; Metazoa; Arthropoda; Arachnida; Mesostigmata; Varroidae. The record is from RefSeq and is a predicted model, not a curated record.